Molecule: long non-coding RNA, 422 nt
Filed under: Ananas comosus (pineapple)
Lineage: Eukaryota; Viridiplantae; Streptophyta; Magnoliopsida; Poales; Bromeliaceae
Description: long non-coding RNA (ACOM_LNC037816)
Source: RNAcentral
ACACACUCGAACUCUACAAUUUGCGAAAGUUCAGUGUAUUACAGUAACUGUAAGCGGAAAGGUUCAUUCUUCACCACCAUUCUGGAUUGCCGUGAUAUACUGCUAGGUGUCACUUACGGACGGUGAGAGAAUAUGAAUAAUUCGAAUUGAAUUGUUCUUAUUUAUCGAUUAGAAGAGUUCUAAUUAAACAUCAAAGAGUUUGAUGUUGAGCUCCUCUGCCGAAUGGUAAUGAACUUAUGCGGUCACACACAUUAGGAAUUGUGUGCACCCGAAUCGUUUGGAUGAGAGUCGUUCACUAAAGAGUUUAGUGUAAGCGAUGAAAAUAAAAGAAAGCUGCUUAAUUAAAUUAGAUUUAAUUAUUCGAUUCGGUUAUAACUGAUAGUCCUAAUUAGUUAGGAUCUCAGAAUCAGUUAGAGAAUUAU